CUGCACAGAAGGACCAAAGCAGAAAAGGAUGUCUUUGGACAUCUGUGGUUGUGGCUUUUGUUUCAUAAAAUGAACCUGGACAGCAGUCAAAAAAAAAGCCCUUCAAAUUUUUAAGAGAACCCAUCUAGCAGAAGUACUGCCAGCAUGGCCAGAAGGUUGAGAGAUGGUACAAAACAGAAACGAUCCCUUGGGCCUCUAGCAUUUUAUAGGCAAGAAGGUUAAGAAGUCCAUCUCAUUUUGCUCUUGGAAAUGGAAGGAUGAUCCAGAGGACAAAACAAAGAGCAAGGGAAAACAACUUCCAAGAGUACACAGGUAUUCAAUGGAGAGGAAUUGCACUCAAGGAGAUGCACCUGAGAAACUUCACUCAAGUGGCCUUGUGUACACCCACACCCGAUUUAGAUGAUGCAAUCUUGGAUCUUGAGCCUGAUACUGUAAAGGGAAGAGGCUUUUGAUGAGAAAUCUUGGACUGAUCGCCUGAUGCAGGUGAACUUCCCCCUCAAGCUCUGCCAGAGAUCCCACACAGCACCUGAGAUGGGUGUGACCUGCCAAGAUGUCAAUCAACCUGCUGACUUCAAGAUACCAGGAAGCAAGACUCCGCCCUUGAAACCUUAUCCCUGCCUUUGAUGUCCCCUGAUAUAAAUAAAGCAAGCUUGGGCUCCAUUUUG
Long non-coding RNA from Marmota monax (woodchuck), 665 nucleotides. RefSeq lists it as uncharacterized. The record is from RefSeq and is a predicted model, not a curated record. NCBI's taxonomy places the organism in Eukaryota, Metazoa, Chordata, Mammalia, Rodentia, Sciuridae. The transcript is spliced from 3 exons.